ACCCUCAUCAUAAUACCGUGGAAGUAUGGCGCUAUUUUGCGCCUUGUUAGUGAUGAAGUGUAGAAAUAACGAUUUCUUUUGACUUUACCAGUGUCCCGACGACUACCGUUACAAGCUAAUUAACGGUUUGUGCUAAAACUGGUCACUUUCGAUUAGCGUGGAAACAAAUCCCAGAGAACGGUUGACUCUGUACCCAUAUGUUAUUAACCCAUAGGUUCAUUUUGUGCCGGAAUUGUCCUUUUUUAAAACUUGAAUCAAAG
Long non-coding RNA from Etheostoma spectabile (orangethroat darter), 260 nucleotides. RefSeq lists it as uncharacterized. The transcript has 4 exons. The record is from RefSeq and is a predicted model, not a curated record. NCBI's taxonomy places the organism in Eukaryota, Metazoa, Chordata, Actinopteri, Perciformes, Percidae.